RNAcentral lists this ribosomal RNA (427 nucleotides) under uncultured bacterium. Its description in RNAcentral is "partial 16S ribosomal RNA". It matches the Rfam family "Bacterial small subunit ribosomal RNA", at positions 355 to 774 of the family's 1533-position model. The record is from RNAcentral.
UGGGGAAUAUUGGACAAUGGGCGAAAGCCUGAUCCAGCCAUGCCGCGUGUGUGAAGAAGGUCUUCGGAUUGUAAAGCACUUUAAGUGGGGAGGAAGGGCAUUAACCUAAUACGUUAGUGUUUUGACGUUACCGACAGAAUAAGCACCGGCUAACUCUGUGCCAGCAGCCGCGGUAAUACAGAGGGUGCAAGCGUUAAUCGGAAUUACUGGGCGUAAAGCGCGCGUAGGUGGUUUGUUAAGUUGGAUGUGAAAUCCCCGGGCUCAACCUGGGAACUGCAUUCAAAACUGACUGACUAGAGUAUGGUAGAGGGUGGUGGAAUUUCCUGUGUAGCGGUGAAAUGCGUAGAUAUAGGAAGGAACACCAGUGGCGAAGGCGACCACCUGGACUAAUACUGACACUGAGGUGCGAAAGCGUGGGGAGCAAACA